UACGUAGGUGGCAAGCGUUGUCCGGAAUUAUUGGGCGUAAAGCGCGCGCAGGCGGUUCCUUAAGUCUGAUGUGGAAGCCCCCGGCUCAACCGGGGAGGGUCAUUGGAAACUGGGGAACUUGAGUGCAGGAGAGGAAAGCGGAAUUCCACGUGUAGCGGUGAAAUGCGUAGAUAUGUGGAGGAACACCAGUGGCGAAGGCGGCUUUCGGGUCUGUAACUGACUCUGAGGCGCGAAAGCGUGGGGAGCAAACAGG
Molecule: ribosomal RNA, 253 nt
Filed under: uncultured bacterium
Lineage: Bacteria
Description: partial 16S ribosomal RNA
Rfam family: Bacterial small subunit ribosomal RNA
Source: RNAcentral